UCCUAUAUUAAAACGCAAAUAAGGGGA
Molecule: small RNA, 27 nt
Filed under: Bombyx mori (domestic silkworm)
Lineage: Eukaryota; Metazoa; Arthropoda; Insecta; Lepidoptera; Bombycidae
Description: ovarian small RNA-27733
Source: RNAcentral